RNAcentral lists this transfer RNA (87 nucleotides) under uncultured phage cr13_1. RNAcentral's name for it is "tRNA-Leu". It matches the Rfam family "tRNA". Rfam says of the family: Transfer RNA (tRNA) molecules are approximately 80 nucleotides in length. Their secondary structure includes four short double-helical elements and three loops (D, anti-codon, and T loops). Further hydrogen bonds mediate the characteristic L-shaped molecular structure. tRNAs have two regions of fundamental functional importance: the anti-codon, which is responsible for specific mRNA codon recognition, and the 3' end, to which the tRNAs corresponding amino acid is attached (by aminoacyl-tRNA synthetases). tRNAs cope with the degeneracy of the genetic code in two manners: having more than one tRNA (with a specific anti-codon) for a particular amino acid; and 'wobble' base-pairing, i.e. permitting non-standard base-pairing at the 3rd anti-codon position. Lineage: Duplodnaviria; Heunggongvirae; Uroviricota; Caudoviricetes; Crassvirales; Crevaviridae. The record is from RNAcentral.
GGCGAGAUGGUGAAAUAGGUAAACACGAAGGAUUUAAAAUCCUUUGGUCAGUAAUGACCUUGCGGGUUCGAUUCCCGCUCUCGCUAC